RNAcentral lists this ribosomal RNA (253 nucleotides) under uncultured bacterium. RNAcentral's name for it is "partial 16S ribosomal RNA". It matches the Rfam family "Bacterial small subunit ribosomal RNA", at positions 524 to 776 of the family's 1533-position model. The record is from RNAcentral.
UACGUAGGGUGCAAGCGUUAAUCGGAAUUACUGGGCGUAAAGCGUGCGCAGGCGGUUUUGUAAGUCUGUCGUGAAAGCCCCGGGCUCAACCUGGGAAUUGCGAUGGAGACUGCAAGGCUUGAAUCUGGCAGAGGGGGGUAGAAUUCCACGUGUAGCAGUGAAAUGCCUAGAGAUGUGGAGGAACACCGAUGGCGAAGGCAGCCCCCUGGGUCAAGAUUGACGCUCAUGCACGAAAGCGUGGGGAGCAAACAGG